RNAcentral lists this long non-coding RNA (2436 nucleotides) under Populus trichocarpa (black cottonwood). RNAcentral's name for it is "long non-coding RNA (PTRI_LNC002594)". The record is from RNAcentral. Lineage: Eukaryota; Viridiplantae; Streptophyta; Magnoliopsida; Malpighiales; Salicaceae.
ACUGGGCUUGCAGGAUGUUUAGUGGACCCGGGAAUUAGUUGUGGUGCGCGUAAGCUGGUCCGGACAUCCUGGAUUAAAAAAAAUUAAUAAAUAUAUUGGUGUACCUUCAUGGAAUGAAAGAACAGGACCGCGCUAUCUCAUGAAAUCUUCCUGGAAAGGGGACCAAAUUAUUUAUUAAUUUCGCUUGAUUUCAGGCUUACCAUUCAAAACAUGUUUUACUUCUUACGUGUAUCAUGUUCGUGGUGAUAAUUUAUUCAAUAAACAAGGUAUUUGAUUUUCUUUUUGGUGAAACGAGAAAAUCAAUAAAAAUAUCGAACCCUGAUAAAUAAAUAAAACUAACAACAGGGAUAAUGUUAAUAGAAAUUCUUAUUAUAUAUAUAUAUAUAUAUGAAUAAUUAAAAUAAUUUUCAAAUCAGCAACUAAAACUAAUAAAUUAAGAUUUUACAUCUUAACACCAUGUUUUUUUGUUUCUUUCCUUUAAACACUCCGUUCCACCUAUCAUGCGCUGUGAAUAAAUAUAAUAUAAUAUAGUUUUCAUGAUUUUAUUUACCAUCUGAUCCGAUCGAGGUCCCCUUUCAUUUUGAAUACAGAUGGAACCUGAAAUUCUUGAAAGGUACCUAACAAUAUAGCUUUCAGUCGAGUGUAGACCGAGAUUUGACAACACAAUUAAUUUCUAAGUUUUGUUUUUCUAUCCUGGGUUGAACGAUACUCCGCCAAGGAUACAUGGAUCGAUCCAGUGCAUGGCACGUCUACCUCACUAUUCUAUUGACAACUGUGGAAUAUUGACUUUCAAGCUCCUGUCUUUUUAAUGCAUUUAAUUUCACGAGUAGACAUGAAGUGAUUUUUAUUCUAGUGUUUUCUUUUAAUAUUAAAAUAAAAUUUAUUUUUAAUAUCAAAAUAAUAUAAAACUUAGAAAACAAUUAAUUUUUUUAAAAAAAUUUAAAACUAUCUUUUUACUGCAAAAACUUCCAAGCUCCGUAGAUAACCAUUACUGUUAUGUGGUUGAUAAAAAUACUGAACUGUCCAAAAAAGUCUUCUAGAUUUUCGAUAAAUUAAUCCAGCAAAGGUGAUUAGAUUUGUAUGGUCAAUAUUAUUCAACAAGGACAUGUAUACUGAAUGCAUGGAUCAGUCAAUAAGAAGGACAAAUCUGUCUACAUUGAGUUUGAUUUUCUGAUUCCAUAGUUGUUUUUUAUUUUAAAAUGUAUCAAUUUUUUUUUUAAUCUUUAAAAAAUUAUUUUUAAAAUCAACUCAUUAAAAUGAUUCAAAAAAUAAUUCAAAAUAUAAAAAAUAAUUAAUUUUUAAUAAAAAAAUACAAGUUGCACCAUAUUUUCAAAUGAUGUUAUCGUUACCGAGAGAGAUUUAAAUCGUCAUAUUACUUAAACCUACGAAUUUGGAAGAGUUAAAAAAAAAAAAAAAACUUUCACUGUCCUGGCUCAGUCGGCAUUCAUAUAAGAAAUUGACAUGGCACUAGAUCAAUAAAUUCUUAUUUUCAAAAUUUUAUCACUUAAACACUAGAAAUUAACUAAGAUAUUUUAACUGGAGACUAGAUCAAUAAAUUCUUAAAAUUUCAACAACUCAACUAAAAAUACAGAUCUUUAAAUAAUAAAUUAAAAAACUAAAAAAACCCAUGCAUACUCGACGACCUUGUCAAUAUGCUAUGUAUCAAUUUAAAGAUUAUAUCGGCAUAUAACAAAAUUUAACAUAAAUUUUUGAAUAAUUUUUUUUUAAAAAAAAUUAAUACUCAGAUGAGCAAAAGUAAGGAAGUAUUACACUGAGAUAGAAAACCUUAAAAAACCUUACUGGCCAUGUAGCAAAACCAUCUCACGUAGUUGACGGGUUUGGGUUGAAUGUGAAACCAUCGAAGAAAGAGAGAGGGUGGGCUUCCACGAGACACGAGGUCUGGGUCACACGUGUGCACUGUUGAGAUGUAAUUUUGUAACAGAAGGUACUGCGACACUACUUUCUUGAGAAGUGUUACUAAUGUGUACACUUUCCAAUGUAUUUUUCUGCUCUGCUUUUCUUUCUUUCCGCUCUCCUCGCAGUCCACACGAAUGGGGGUGGGGGUCGAUUUUGUCAGAGAUUGCACGUGUGGUAGCAGUUAAUGUCAAGACAUUUGACUGUCUGAAGAAAAGAGAGGUAGGCGAGGGGAGAGGUAGCUAAUUCAUAAUUAAGAGAGGGAAAAACAGGGGGCGGCGGCUGAUACGGCACAGCAGGGAGCCCAUCUUGGCAUGUAUUUUUGGUGGUUUGGCUAUGGUAGCCUUUGUGAGUUUUGUCAUGUACUCAUGUGGUGGUGGAUAGAUGGCCUUUUCUGUAUUUUAUGGCCCUCUUACUCUAGAAAAGUGAUUGAAGCCGAUGGUGUAACAACCACCAGACACCAUCUAGCUCCUUCCGUUGUCAAAAGACUCAAAACUAGCUAUCAUAUGAUGAUUCUUGAUU